This is a long non-coding RNA of Oncorhynchus keta (chum salmon), 615 nucleotides long. RefSeq lists it as uncharacterized. The transcript has 3 exons. The record is from RefSeq and is a predicted model, not a curated record. Lineage: Eukaryota; Metazoa; Chordata; Actinopteri; Salmoniformes; Salmonidae.
ACUACAGUGUAAAUACGACAGUGGCAGGUAUAACUACAGUGUAAAUACGACAGUGGCAGGUAUAACUACAGUGUAAAUACGACAGUGGCAGGUAUAACUACAGUGUAAAUACGACAGUGGCAGGUAUAACUACAGUGUAAAUACGACAGUGGCAGGUAUAACUACAGUGGCAGGUAUAACUACAGUGUAAAUACGACAGUGGCAGGUAUAACUACAGUGUAAAUACGACAGUGGCAGGUAUAACUACAGUGUAAAUACGACAGUGGCAGGUAUAACUACAGUGUAAAUACGACAGUGGCAGGUAUAACUACAGUGUAAAUACGACAGUGGCAGGUAUAACUACAGUGGCAGGUAUAACUACAGUGUAAAUACGACAGUGGCAGGUAUAACUACAGUGUAAAUACGACAGUGGCAGGUAUAACUACAGUGUAAAUACGACAGUGGCAGGUAUAACUACAGUGGCAGGUAUAACUACAGUGUAAAUACGACAGUGGCAGGUAUAACUACAGUGUAAAUACGACAGUGGCAGGUAUAACUACAGUGUAAAUACGACAGUGGCAGGUAUAACUACAGUGUAAAUACGACAGUGGCAGGUAUAACUACAGUGUAAAGACG